ACGUCUUCCAUGCAAGCGCAGCGUGGAACAUACAGUAUUAAAUGGCUCCACAAAUGCAGUUCUGAUUGAAACUAGCCCACCUCACUUCAACCCUCACGGGAAAGAAGAAAGGAAGGAAAGAAAAUACGGGAAAGCUGCUGAUGGUGUGUUUGACAGAGC
This is a long non-coding RNA of Entelurus aequoreus (snake pipefish), 159 nucleotides long. RefSeq lists it as uncharacterized. The record is from RefSeq and is a predicted model, not a curated record. NCBI's taxonomy places the organism in Eukaryota, Metazoa, Chordata, Actinopteri, Syngnathiformes, Syngnathidae. The transcript has 3 exons.